This is a long non-coding RNA of Orcinus orca (killer whale), 1023 nucleotides long. RefSeq lists it as uncharacterized. NCBI's taxonomy places the organism in Eukaryota, Metazoa, Chordata, Mammalia, Artiodactyla, Delphinidae. The record is from RefSeq and is a predicted model, not a curated record. The transcript has 2 exons.
UUGUCAGGAGAUUUUCCUCUCGAGGCAGCAGAGGUGGCUGCUGGGAAGACAGGACACGUGGAGGGAGCUGGGGCUCUUGGAGCCGGGCACAGGCUGAGCGCCGGGCGCCGGGCCCAGGGGACAGGGUGGAAGCUCUGGAGGAGUAGCCGCCUGCCUAAAUAACGCUGCCUCUCCUUGGUGCGACUGGUUUUACUCUGUCUUCUAGAUGUGAUAGGCAAGAUGACCGGCCUCGCUGAGGGAUCACUCCAGCCACGAGAAUCGUGUCUUCCAUUCAUCCGGGAGUGACCAUCUUGUUACUCACGUGAGGGUCGUCCAUUCACAGACAACCGCCCCUCAACAAUCGUUUACGUGGAAAUAAAAGCUCCUUCUGAAUUUGUUGUAGCCUAAGCAGUUUGAGGAGUGCCCCAGUUCAGAGCACCAUAAUUAAGAAUUGUGAAAAGUAUCAAAAUGGAAAACUGGUGCAGCUCCCUAUCCAGUUAAAAUCUUAUUUAAGUACUGUGGCACGAGGUGUGAUCGUAUCCAUUUCACUAAUAUAUAUUGAACGUCCAACAUGUGCCAGCACGGGAAUGCCAUAAUAUCUAAGACUGGAACGGACCCUGUCUUCAUGAAGCUCACGGUUGUGGAAACAAAAGUGAGACUGCCCUGCUGCCAUUUUAAGAGUGUACAUCAAGUCCCACAGGAGGAAGAAUACUACUAAUAAUAAGACACUUUCAACCCUAAGACAAAGUAUCCGAACUACUUUUUUAAAUCUGCUGUCUAGAAUGAAUGAAAUCUUGAGUUUUUCCCAUCAGUUACUGAUUCCCUAAUGAAAACUAUUUUAUCCCUGACUUUUGAAUACAGAAAUUUGGGAAUAUGUCAUUUGUGACAUAUCUUCCCAUGUGAGCAUACUGUCUAUGCUGAAGAGAUAAAUGUAAACAUGGUAAUCUUUACAUUUUUCCUUUAAAUAUCUGUGGUAUUUCUUAUUCAGUGGUCCAGUCCUACUGAAGUCAGCACGUCUUUGCAAGUAAACUUAUCUUUUCUAAA